UACCAAAAUAAAAGUUGUAGUGAAGGU
RNAcentral lists this non-coding RNA (27 nucleotides) under Mus musculus (house mouse). The record is from RNAcentral. Lineage: Eukaryota; Metazoa; Chordata; Mammalia; Rodentia; Muridae.